AACGACACGUGAGGCUCGAAGAAGCGUGGGCGAGCAAACAGGAUAGAUACUCUGUUGCGUCCACGAGAAGAACGAUGAGUGCAGAUGUAGGAAAGCUCAUCAAGUGAUCGGUAACUACCCAGAAAGGGACGCCAAUAAGCUACGUGCCAGCAGCCGCGGUAAUACGUAGGUCCGCAAGCGUUGAAACUCAAAGGAAUUGACGGGGGCCCGCACAAGCGAUGCAGCAGGUGGUUUAAUUAGAAGUCAACGCGUAAGAACGCUUACCAGGUCUCAACCAUACUCGUGCUAUGCAUAGAGAAACUGGAAGAUCCUUCGAGUGACACGGGAGACGAGAGUGGAAAUCCAUGGUUGUAGUCAGCUCGAAAUGUCGUGAGAUAUAUGGAGGAAAGUCACCGGUUGCAACGAGCGCAACCCCUAUUGUUAGUUGCCAUCAUUAAGUUGGGCACUCUAACGAGACUGCCGGUGAUAAACCGGAGGAAGGUGGGGAUGACGUCAAAUCAUCAUGCCCCUUAUGACCUGGGCUACACACGUGCUACAAUGGAUGGUACAACGAGUCGCGAGACAGUGAUGUUUAGCUAAUCUCUUAAAACCAUUCUCAGUUCGGAUUGUAGGCUGCAACUUGCCUACAUGAAGUCGGAAUCGCUGGUAAUCGCGGAUCAGCACGCCGCGGUGAAUACGUUCCCGGGCCUUGUACACACCGCCCGUCACACCACCGGAGUUAGGA
Molecule: ribosomal RNA, 724 nt
Filed under: Lactococcus lactis
Lineage: Bacteria; Bacillati; Bacillota; Bacilli; Lactobacillales; Streptococcaceae
Description: bacterial SSU rRNA
Rfam family: Bacterial small subunit ribosomal RNA
Source: RNAcentral